Molecule: ribosomal RNA, 549 nt
Filed under: uncultured Glomus
Lineage: Eukaryota; Fungi; Glomeromycota; Glomeromycetes; Glomerales; Glomeraceae
Description: SSU rRNA
Rfam family: Eukaryotic small subunit ribosomal RNA
Source: RNAcentral
UUGGAGGGCAAGUCUGGUGCCAGCAGCCGCGGUAAUUCCAGCUCCAAUAGCGUAUAUUAAAGUUGUUGCAGUUAAAAAGCUCGUAGUUGAAUUUCGGGGUCAGUAGAUUGGUCAUGCCACUGGUAUGUACUGGUCUCACUGAUUCCUCCUUCCUGAUGAGACGUAAUGCCAUUAAUUUGGUGUUGCGAGGAAUCUGGACUGUUACUUUGAAAAAAUUAGAGUGUUUAAAGCAGGCUAACGCUUGAAUACAUUAGCAUGGAAUAAUGAAAUAGGACGUUCGAUCUCAUUUUGUUGGUUUCUAAGAUUGACGUAAUGAUUAAUAGGGAUAGUUGGGGGCAUUAGUAUUCAAUUGUCAGAGGUGAAGUUCUUGGAUUUAUUGAAGACUAACUACUGCGAAAGCAUUUGCCAAGGAUGUUUUCAUUAAUCAAGAACGAAAGUUAGGGAAUCGAAGACAAUCAGAUACCGUCGUAGUCUUAACCAUAAACUAUGCCGACUAGGGAUCGGAUGAUGUUAAUUUUUUAAUGACUCAUUCGGCACCUUACGGGAAAC